Molecule: ribosomal RNA, 253 nt
Filed under: uncultured bacterium
Lineage: Bacteria
Description: partial 16S ribosomal RNA
Rfam family: Bacterial small subunit ribosomal RNA
Source: RNAcentral
UACGAAGGGGGCUAGCGUUGCUCGGAAUCACUGGGCGUAAAGCGCACGUAGGCGGCCAACUAAGUCAGACGUGAAAUCCCUCGGCUUAACCGGGGAACUGCAUCUGAUACUGGAUGGCUUGAGAUUGGGAGAGGGAUGCGGAAUUCCAGGUGUAGCGGUGAAAUGCGUAGAUAUCUGGAGGAACACCGGUGGCGAAGGCGGCAUCCUGGACCAACACUGACGCUGAGGAGCGAAAGCCAGGGGAGCAAACGGG